CGGCAUACUGCUCAGUAACACGUGGAUAACCUGCCCUAUCGUCUGGAAUAACCUCGGGAAACUGAGAAUAAGGCCGGAUAGUUCACAAUGCCUGGAACGGUUUGUGAAUCAAGGUAGGAUGGGUCUGCGGCGUAUCAGGUUGUAGGGGGUGUAAAGGACCCCCUAGCCUUCGACGCGUACGGGUGUUGGGAGACAUAGCCCGGAGAUGGAUUCUGAGACACGAAUCCAGACCCUACGGGGUGCAGCAGGCGCGAAAACUUCACACUGCAGGAAACUGUGAUGAGGGAACUCCUAGUGCAUGCACUAUGUGUACGUAGAUCCUACUCUUAACAAGUAGAGGGAAAGGGCUGGGAAAGACCGGUGCCAGCCGCCGCGGUAAUACCGGCAGCUCUAGUGGUCGUCGCUUUUAUUGGGCCUAAAACGUCCGUAGCCUGUUUGGUAAAUCUGUGGGUAAAUCAAUCCGCUCAACGGAUUGAAUUCUGCAGAGACUGCCAGACUAGGGACCGGGAGAGGUGUGGGGUACUCGAGGGGUAGGGGUAAAAUCCUAUCAUCCUUCGAGGACCACCAGUUGCGAAGGCGCCACACUGGAACGGAUCCGACGGUCAGGGACGAAGCCUAGGGGCACGAAACCGGAUUAGAUACCCGGGUAGUCCUAGGUGUAAACGCUGU
This 669-nucleotide ribosomal RNA is filed under the name uncultured marine archaeon. RNAcentral's name for it is "bacterial SSU rRNA". It matches the Rfam family "Archaeal small subunit ribosomal RNA", at positions 79 to 763 of the family's 1478-position model. The record is from RNAcentral.